RNAcentral lists this ribosomal RNA (845 nucleotides) under Codinaeella yunnanensis. RNAcentral's name for it is "partial large subunit ribosomal RNA". It matches the Rfam family "Eukaryotic large subunit ribosomal RNA", at positions 65 to 943 of the family's 3401-position model. Lineage: Eukaryota; Fungi; Ascomycota; Sordariomycetes; Chaetosphaeriales; Chaetosphaeriaceae. The record is from RNAcentral.
CCAACAGGUAUUGCCUCAGUAACGGCGAGUGAAGCGGCAACAGCUCAAAUUUGAAAUCUGGCCCCAGGCCCGAGUUGUAAUUUGCAGAGGAUGCUUCUGGCAAGGUGCCUUCCAAGUCCCCUGGAACGGGGCGCCGAAGAGGGUGAGAGCCCCGUCCGGUCGGCCACCAAGCCUGUGUGAAGCUCCUUCGACGAGUCGAGUAGUUUGGGAAUGCUGCUCUAAACGGGAGGUAGACCCCUUCUAAAGCUAAAUACCGGCCAGAGACCGAUAGCGCACAAGUAGAGUGAUCGAAAGAUGAAAAGCACUUUGAAAAGAGGGUUAAAAAGUACGUGAAAUUGUUGAAAGGGAAGCGCUUGUGACCAGACGUGUGCCGGGGUGCUCAGCGGGCGUUCUCGCCCGUGCACUCGCCCCGGUACAGGCCAGCGUCGGUUCGCGCGGGGGGACAAAGGCGCCGGGAACGUAGCUCCUCCGGGAGUGUUAUAGCCCGGCGUGCCAUGCCCCCGCGCGGACCGAGGUUCGCGCUCCGCAAGGACGCUGGCGUAAUGGUCUCCAGCGGCCCGUCUUGAAACACGGACCAAGGAGUCGAGGUUUUGCGCGAGUGUUUGGGUGUCAAACCCGCACGCGUAAUGAAAGUGAACGCAGGUGGGAGCUUCGGCGCACCACCGACCGAUCCUGAUGUUCUCGGAUGGAUUUGAGUAGGAGCGUAGGGCCUCGGACCCGAAAGAUGGUGAACUAUACGUGGAUAGGGUGAAGCCAGAGGAAACUCUGGUGGAGGCUCGCAGCGGUUCUGACGUGCAAAUCGAUCGUCAAAUCUGCGUAUGGGGGCGAAAGACUAAUCGAACCAU